GGACCAGACUCCUACGGGAGGCAGCAGUGAGGAAUAUUGGUCAAUGGGCGGAAGCCUGAACCAGCCAAGUCGCGUGAGGGAAUAAGGCCCUACGGGUCGUAAACCUCUUUUGCCGGGGAGCAAGGGCCGGGACGCGUCCCGGCCCGGAGAGUACCCGGAGAAAAAGCAUCGGCUAACUCCGUGCCAGCAGCCGCGGUAAUACGGAGGAUGCGAGCGUUAUCCGGAUUUAUUGGGUUUAAAGGGUGCGCAGGCGGAAGAUCAAGUCAGCGGUAAAAUUGAGGGGCUCACCCUCUUCGAGCCGUUGAAACUGGUCUUCUUGAGUGAGCGAGCAGUAUGCGGAAUGCGUGGUGUAGCGGUGAAAUGCAUAGAUAUCACGCAGAACUCCGAUUGCGAAGGCAGCAUACCGGCGCUCAACUGACGCUCAUGCACGAAAGCGUGGGUAUCGAACAGGAUUAGAUACCCCAGUA
Molecule: ribosomal RNA, 467 nt
Filed under: uncultured bacterium
Lineage: Bacteria
Description: bacterial SSU rRNA
Rfam family: Bacterial small subunit ribosomal RNA
Source: RNAcentral